RNAcentral lists this small RNA (5007 nucleotides) under Pongo abelii (Sumatran orangutan). RNAcentral's name for it is "processed transcript". The record is from RNAcentral. Lineage: Eukaryota; Metazoa; Chordata; Mammalia; Primates; Hominidae.
ACGAGGUCUCUCUGUUGACCAGACUGGUCUCAAACUCCCAGCCUCAAGCAGUCCUUCCAUUUUGGUCUCCCAAAGUGCUGGAAUUACAGGAGUCUCUGAGAACAAGCCAGCCAGAGGAGAAGAAGGAUGUUUCUCUGGAUUCAGAUGCUGCCGGUCCCCCUACUCCCUGCAAGCCCUCCAGCCCAGGUGCAGACAGCAGUCUGAGCAGUGCUGAUGGCAAAGGGCGACAGGGAAGUGGGGCAAGACCUGGGCUUCCAGAAAAAGAGGAAAAUGAGAAGAGUGAACCUAAGAUUUUCGGGAAUCUGGUGACCCCCAAGGCAGACCCUAGGGGCAGUGAGCCUGCCAAAGCCUCUGAAAAGGAAGCACCAGAGGACACAGUAGAUGCAGGAGAGGAGGGUUCCAGGAGGGAAGAGGCAGCCAAGGAGCCAAAGAAGAAGACUUCUGCUCUGGAAGAGGGCAGUUCAGACGCCAGCCAAGAACUGGAAAUUAGUGAACACAUGAAGGAACCACAGCUCUCAGACUCCAUAGCUUCUGACCCCAAGUCCUUCCAUGGCCUGGACUUCGGUUUUCGCAGCCGGAUCUCGGAGCACCUGCUGGAUGUUGAUGUGCUUUCCCCAGUCCUGGAUGGAGCUUGUCAGCAGGCCCAGCAACCACUGGGAAUAGAAGACAAGGAUGACAGCCAGUCCAGCCAAGAUGAGCUGCAGAGCAAGCAGUCCAAAGGCCUGGAGAGGUUAUCUCCUCUACUUCCAUACGAGGAGCGGGCCCAGAGUCCCCCUCGCAGCCUGGUCACCGAAGAAGAGCCCCCCCAGGGCCCCGAGGGGCAGCCCGAGUGGAAGGAGGCAGAGGAGCUUGGGGAGGACUCUGCAGCCAGCCUCAGCCUGCAGCUGUCCCUCCAGAGGGAGCAGGACCCAAGCCCACCUGCUGCCCAUGAGAAGGGCAAGGAGCAGCAUUCCCAGGCUGAGGAGCUGGGCCCUGGGCAGGAAGAGGCGGAGGAGCCUGAGGAGAAGGUGGCGGUCAGCCCCACCCUGCCAGUCUCUCCAGAGGUGCAAUCCACAGAGCCUGUGGCUCCCCCAAAGCAGCUCUCAGAAGCUGCACUAAAGGCCAUGGAAGAGGCAGUGGCCCAAGUACUCGAGCAAGACCAGAGGCACCUGCUGGAAUCGAAGCAAGAGAAGAUGCAGCAACUGCGGGAGAAGCUGUACCAAGAGGAGGAAGAGGAGAUCCUCCAGCUUCACCAGCAGAAAGAGCAAUCGCUCAGUUCCUUGAGGGAGCGGCUGCAGAAAGCCAUUGAGGAGGAGGAGGCCCAGAUGAGAGAGGAGGAAAGCCAGAGGCUGUCCUGGCUCCGAGCUCAGGUCCAGUCCAGCACACAAGCAGAUGAGGACCAAAUCAGGGCUGAGCAAGAGGCUUCCCUGCAGAAACUGAGAGAAAAGUUGGAGUCUCAACAGAAGGCUGAGAGGGCCAGCUUGGAACAGAAACAUAGGCAAAUGCUGGAGCAGCUCAAGGAAGAGAUAGAGGCUUCGGAGAAGAGCGAGCAGGCUGCCCUGAAUGCUGCAAAGGAGAAGGCUCUGCAGCAGCUGAGGGAGCAGCUGGAAGGGGAGAGGAAAGAAGCUGUGGCAGCGCUGGAGAAGGAGCACAGUGCUGAGCUGGAGCGGCUCUGCUCCUUGUUGGAGGCCAAGCACCGGGAGGUGGUCUCCAGCCUCCAGAAGAAGAUAGAGGAAGCUCAACAGAAAGAGGAGGCCCAGCUGCAGAAGUGCCUUGGGCAAGUGGAGCACAGAGUUCACCAAAAGGCUUAUCACGUGGCUGAGUAUGAGCACGAGCUCAGCAGUCUCCUGCGAGAGAAGCGCCAGGAAGUGGAAGGGGAGCACGAGAGGAGGUUGGACAAGAUGAAGGAGGAGCACCAGCAAGUGAUGGCUAAGGCCAGAGAGCAGUAUGAAGCUGAGGAGAGGAAGCAGCGGGCUGAGCUUCUGGGGCACCUGACUGGAGAGCUGGAGCGCCUGCAGAGGGCCCAUGAACGAGAACUGGAGACUGUGAGGCAGGAGCAACAUAAGCGUCUUGAGGACUUGCGGCGCCGGCACAGGGAGCAGGAAAGGAAGCUCCAGGAUCUAGAGUUGGACCUUGAAACCAGAGCUAAAGAUGUCAAGGCCAGAUUGGCUCUGCUGGAGGUCCAGGAGGAGACCGCCCGGAGGGAGAAGCAGCAGCUGCUUGAUGUGCAGAGGCAGGUUGCUCUGAAGAGUGAGGAAGCCACAGCCACCCAUCAGCAGCUGGAGGAGGCACAGAAGGAGCACACCCACCUGUUGCAGUCAAACCAGCAGCUCCGAGAAAUUCUUGAUGAGCUGCAGGCCCGCAAGCUGAAGCUGGAGUCCCAAGUGGAUCUGCUGCAGGCUCAGAGCCAGCAACUGCAGAAACACAUCAGCAGCCUGGAGGCUGAAGCUCAAAAGAAGCAGCACCUGUUGAGAGAAGUGACAGUUGAGGAAAAUAAUGCUUCCCCACAUUUUGAGCCAGAUCUCCACAUUGAGGACCUGAGGAAAUCCCUUGGGACAAACCAGACCAAAGAGGUGUCUUCUUCUCUCUCCCAGAGCAAGGAGGACUUAUACUUGGACAGCCUGUCCUCCCACAAUGUCUGGCACCUCCUCUCUGCUGAGGGGGUAGCCCUCCGUAGUGCCAAGGAGUUCCUUGUGCGGCAGACACGCUCCAUGCGGAGGCGGCAGACAGCUCUGAAAGCUGCCCAGCAGCAUUGGCGCCAUGAGCUGGCCAGUGCGCAGGAGGUGGCCAAAGACCCACCAGGCAUUAAGGCCCUGGAAGAUAUGCGCAAGAACCUGGAGAAGGAGACCAGGCACCUGGAUGAGAUGAAGUCAGCCAUGCGGAAAGGCCACAACCUGCUGAAGAAGAAAGAGGAGAAGCUGAAUCAGCUGGAGUCCUCUCUUCGGGAAGAGGCAUUUGGGACAUAUGCUGAGCCUUGCCUCCCUCCCAUCCUGCUGUGAGGCAGCUGUGUGAUUUGCUUCACCCAGGGUACCUGGUGGAACUCUGGGCCCCAGAGGAGUCUACUCACCAAGUCCUCAGUUCCCACACAUCACAAGGGCGACAGGCUACAUACCACCUUGAAUUUGUAGCAUCAAAAUUGCUAGGAGAACAAAUGGAGAUGCCCAUAGUUCAUGGAUUUGCGCCUCAGAUGAGGGCACUCUGGGAGGAUCCCCCACCAAGAAGGCGGUAACCUUCGACCUCAGUGACAUGGACAGCCUGAGCAGUGAAAGUUCUGAAUCUUUUUCCCUGCCUCACCGUGAGUGGUGGCGGCAGCAGAGGAUCGACUCAACCCCGAGUCUCACCUCCUGCAAGAUCCAUGGGCUUAGCCACUCCCUCCGGCAGAUCAGCAGCCAGCUGAGCAGUGUCCUCAGCAUCCUGGACAGCCUCAACCCUCAGUCGCCGCCGCCGCUUCUCGCCUCCACGCCAGCCCAGCUCCCUCCCCGGGACCCUAAGAGCACCCCCACCCCCACCUACUAUGGCUCCCUGGCCAGGUUCUCAGCCUUAUCAUCUGCUACACCCACGUCCACCCAAUGGGCCUGGGAUUCAGGGCAGGGGCCCAGGCUCCCCUCCUCUGUGGCUCAAACAGUGGACGACUUCCUGUUGGAGAAGUGGCGCAAGUAUUUUCCAUCUGGCAUCCCGCUGCUCAGCAACAGCCCUGCCCCACUGGAGAGCAGGCUGGGUUACAUGUCUGCCAGUGAGCAGCUCCGGCUCCUACAGCACUCCCAUUCCCAAGUCCCUGAGGCUGGCAGCACCACCUUUCAGGGCAUAAUUGAGGCCAACCGGAGGUGGCUGGAACGUGUCAAGAAUGACCCCAGGUUACCUCUCUUCUCUUCAGCACCCAAGCCAAAAGCUACUUUGAGCCUUCUGCAGCUGGGCCUUGAUGAGCACAACAGAGUGAAGGUGUAUCGCUUCUGAGGCCCUGAGCAGGGGCUUGGGGCAGCCCAGCCUCUCCUCCACCCAGACCAGGUGCCUGAGGAGCUGCCUGCCUUCUUCCAUCUGAGAAAGCACCCUCCUUCCCCCUUUGACUUGCAGGAGCCACCAGGGAGCAGGGGGUUGAGUGGAACAGUAAAGCCGCACAUUCUGUGACUACAUAACCUAUCUCGGGCUAAAAUGUGUGGACUUGUACGAGCUCUUGUCAUUGACAUGGCAAGCUGAUGGUGUGCGGUGGCUGUGGGGUAUCAGGGCCGGGAAGCCCGUUGGGAGGAAGGGAGGUGUUAGAGGAGCUGCCUUCAGAGGCCCAGGGAGUCCCUUUGGAGCUGGUUGUUUCCUUGUCCCUGCAGCGCACUGCUCGGGGCUCCCAAGGAGGUUGUGCGUAUGGUUCUUAGUUCAUCAGGACAAAGACCCCCAGCGUGUGUGUACCCUGGGACCCAGUUUCUCUGGGCCCACAUCUAUCUCCAAUACCUCAGCCUUAGAUCAGACCCUUUCUUUUUUGUCUUUCUUUUCUUAAGCGUUCCGUCUCUCUUUUUGACUCUCUCAGGAUUGGGCUUAGCUGUCCAGAGCCCUGCCGGAGGGUGCUGGGGGCUGUCCCUCUGCAGGCACUGUGUUUUCCUCGGGGGCUGUCCUCAGGAGCACCCCUCCUGCUCCCUGGGGCUCCUCAGGGAGCCAUUUCAGCUGGAGUCUCAGGUCUCAAACACAGCUUCUCCGGGAGGCCAAAAAAAAGACUGGGAUGGCUGCUGGUCCUCAUGGCGGCUUUUAUCCUCCUGGGACACGUUGGGUAUAUUCAUGGGCAUUGUUUCCAUCUGUCUUUUCUACCUGUGCCACCCCUGCCCUGAUUCCACGGCUGCCUCAGGCAGGCAGGCGAGGGGCUAGGCCGGUGCCUGGCCCUGGCAGCAAGGGGUCUUUGUGCAGUUGGAGAUGCUGCCGUUGUGGCAGAGCGUCCUGCAGCCCCGCUUCCAUCAGUGGGCUCUGGGGUGGGUGCUUUGCAGGGGAUACUCUCUGAUGUUUGUUCCGUUGUUUAAAUAAAAUGCACUUAUUUUUAUUUUUUUGCAA